UAAUUGAAGAGUUUGAUCAUGGCUCAGAUUGAACGCUGGCGGCAGGCCUAACACAUGCAAGUCGGGCGGUAACAGGGGGAAGCUUGCUUCUCUGCUGACGAGCG
RNAcentral lists this ribosomal RNA (104 nucleotides) under Morganella morganii subsp. morganii. Its description in RNAcentral is "partial 16S ribosomal RNA". It matches the Rfam family "Bacterial small subunit ribosomal RNA", at positions 1 to 104 of the family's 1533-position model. The record is from RNAcentral. Lineage: Bacteria; Pseudomonadati; Pseudomonadota; Gammaproteobacteria; Enterobacterales; Morganellaceae.